AGCGUUGAGGCAGGUGCGUAGUGAAGUACGCGCACCAUAAUGCUGGGGCGUGAUGGGGACAGAAAACAAGUAUGGAAGCUGCUGAAUUCACACUGGCGAGAAAAGCUGCUAGGGAGCAAAAGGGUGCCUGUACCGCAAACCGACGCAGGUGGGCGAGGAGAGAAUCCUGAGACGACGGGAGAACCCUUGUUAAGGAACUCGGCAAAAUGACCCCGUAACUUCGGGAUAAGGGGUGCCUCGAGAGAGGCCGCAGAGAAUAGCCCAAGCGACUGUUUAGCAAAAACACAGGUAUCUGCGAAAGCGAGAGCUGACGUAUAGGUGCUGACACCUGCCCGGUGCUGGAAGGUUAAGGGAACAUGUUAGAGCAAUCGAAGCAUCGAACCGAAGCCCCAGUAAACGGCGGCCGUAACUAUAACGGUCCUAAGGUAGCGAAAUUCCUUGUCGGGUAAGUUCCGACCCGCACGAAUGGUGUAACGACUUGUGAGCUGUCUCAACAGGGGGCCCGGUGAAAUUGAAGUAUGGGUGAAGAUGCCCAUUACCCGCGACUGGACGGAAAGACCCCGUAGAGCUUUACUGCAGCCUGAUAUUGAGUUUCGGUAACUGAUGCACAGGAUAG
This 616-nucleotide ribosomal RNA is filed under the name human gut metagenome. Its description in RNAcentral is "bacterial LSU rRNA". It matches the Rfam family "Bacterial large subunit ribosomal RNA", at positions 1515 to 2146 of the family's 2925-position model. The record is from RNAcentral.